UGGGCCAGCCCUAAUGAAUGCUCAUUAACCACAUGUGCAGCUAAAGCAAUGGCUUAAGUUCCAUGGAGCCUCUCCCCUCCCAGAAUCAACUAGCAAUUUUCCUCCUGUAUCAUACUCUGAAGUACUAGCACUGAAUAAGAAGCAAUGACCAAUAAUGCCCAAAAGACAUUUCUGUCUAUGGGUGAACUUGAAAAUGGGAGACAUGUGGACCAUAGAUGCUGAUCUUCAUUUAGUUUUAACAGCAGCAGGCCAGGACCAGCCUCUGAAAUCCAGGACUGUCCCAGCUAAACUGGAACAUGGUAACCCUAACUCAGCCC
This is a long non-coding RNA of Alligator sinensis (Chinese alligator), 317 nucleotides long. RefSeq lists it as uncharacterized. The record is from RefSeq and is a predicted model, not a curated record. NCBI's taxonomy places the organism in Eukaryota, Metazoa, Chordata, Crocodylia, Alligatoridae. The transcript is spliced from 3 exons.